This 77-nucleotide transfer RNA is filed under the name Pseudomonadota bacterium. RNAcentral describes it as "Proteobacteria bacterium (freshwater metagenome) tRNA-Val". It matches the Rfam family "tRNA". Rfam says of the family: Transfer RNA (tRNA) molecules are approximately 80 nucleotides in length. The record is from RNAcentral. Lineage: Bacteria; Pseudomonadati; Pseudomonadota.
GGGUGAUUAGCUCAGUUGGUUAGAGCAUCUCGUUUACACCGAGAGGGUCGGGAGUUCGAGUCUCUCAUCACCCACCA